This 597-nucleotide unclassified non-coding RNA is filed under the name Hevea brasiliensis (rubber tree). Lineage: Eukaryota; Viridiplantae; Streptophyta; Magnoliopsida; Malpighiales; Euphorbiaceae. The record is from RNAcentral.
GGACUAAACAGUAGUUAGUUUUGCUCAAGUAAAAGUUACAUAACUACAAAACCACCAGCAAACUGUCCUGUAAUGUUCCAGACAGGCGCAAAUUUGAAGUUGAGCAAAACUUAUAUACAUCGUUGCCUAACUCGAAAUACUCAAAUCUGCAGUUCACAAGACUAACAAAAACAGAAAAAACAAGACCAACUGUAUCUGAGUUGUGUCUUCCAAACUAGUCUAUAUGAAGUCAGAAUCGCCGCCAAAAUGUGGGAGAUCUGGAUGAGGCCUCCCUCCACCUCCAGGCCUCCUUGGGUUCCUGAUAAAGCGACCUGGUUCAAAGCCAGGAACAUCUGGUGGACCAUAUGGAUCAAAACGGGCACCAGGUGGAACACCCGGCAGUCCACCAGGUAAACGAGGAUCCCCACCCAUUCCACCAAAAAAACGAGGGUCAUUAGGCCCUACAAGCAUGCUCCCACCAGCUCCUGGUUCGCCUCUGGUUGGGUAUACUCCGGCACCAGGCCCGGGGAAAAGAUCACCGCCACCAAUACCAGGAAUGGGAGGAACCACGUACCCUGAGGGAAAAGAACCUGCAGGCUGAUACGGAUAGUCAGGUUG